CUGCUGCGGCGAGCACAUAUGCACAUGGCCGUCAAUACCUGCGGCCGUAAGGAUCAUAUGCUCUCCUGAAAUGGCGUCCGUACUCGGACCGGUGACCAAAGUCGGGGUAACCCCCUUCAUCACGUUGGGAUUUCCGGCCUUGCCGAUUCCGGCUAUCUUGCCGUCCUUGAUGCCUACGUCGGCCUUGAUCACUCCAAGGAGCGGAUCGAGGAUUGUGACAUUGGUGAUCACGAGGUCAAGGCUGCCCCCGGCCGAAGUACACUCAUUGUCAAGCCCCAUUCCGUCGCG
RNAcentral lists this small RNA (288 nucleotides) under human gut metagenome. Its description in RNAcentral is "5' ureB small RNA". It matches the Rfam family "5' ureB small RNA". The record is from RNAcentral.